Non-coding RNA from Drosophila melanogaster (fruit fly), 2886 nucleotides. Lineage: Eukaryota; Metazoa; Arthropoda; Insecta; Diptera; Drosophilidae. The record is from Ensembl.
GGCCAGUCGACAACAGCCACUCAGCGGAGCGAGAUCGGGGGCACGCUAGAGUCGGACGGAAUGAUGCGUGGAGAUCGUGGGGAGUAGUAGAAAUUAACACUAAAUGUUGGCCUGAUAAAUCCAAAAAAAAAAAUCAGAAGGAAGCCCUUGGCCAGAAAACAGUUAAUUCGACACCCACUCAAACGAGGCUAAGAAGGCGCGCAUGAGCGAGAGAGCCAGAGAGAGCGAACACAGCUCUGCUCUCGCACGAAUGAGAAAUCAAAACAAAUUGCAAAAGAAUAGAGAUUUUCUGCCUGGGUUAUGUGUAUAUGUUUUGACGAGCGUGUACCAAGCGUAUGCGCACCGCCACAAGCGGAAUAAAAAAUAUACAAAAUAAUUUGCUGCACUCGCACGCACACACACCAGCGCACCUCCGCUGACACACACACCCGCACCAACUGCAGGCAUUAUGCACGCCAUAUAAACAAUUGCGAAAAAAUUACACUUGGUUUCGUGGCCCUCGACAGCUACGUCAUAGCACUAAAAUAAUGGCGCGCUUUUUCAGUGCAGCCACAAAAAGUCGCUUAUAAUUAAAAGAAAAUGCAAAUAAUAUCAAUCAGGAGAACUUUGCGACGCCCAAUUCCAGGUGAACUCGAGUAACUCGAUGCUCGACGGCGUAAACAAACAACAUUCUGGAUGCAACGAAAAUUUCUCUACACUUUCUUUUUUGCACCCACCGAGGCACAGGCACAUCAAUAUUUUCCAUUUUAUAUACUGCCUGGGCAUCGUGUGGCCGCACUGCGUUAAAACGCCCUGAAACGCCACAAAACUCACCUAGUUUCAACUAUCCUAGUCUGAAAAGCACGCGCUACGUGUUUGCAAACAUUUAGGCGUGCGCUUGGCGUAAAUAUUCCCGCGAUUUUCUUUGGAAAUUAAAAAUAAGUUCUUCUCAAAUUCUUUUUCAGCGACGAAACUCGGAGCAGUCGAAUCGAGAUGGCAUUGCUGCGAUAGGCAGCACGGUAUCGAUUGCCUGCUCUUUCCGCACUAUCGUUUGUCAUUCGCAACUUUUCGUGUACGAUAGUUCUGUUGUAUUUGUUUUAUAAUCUAUUAAAUUUGAAGUAAUUAAAUUAAACAGAUAGGAAACUAUCUAUAACAUUAUUUUAUUUCUCUAAUACUUUUCUAGUGGACUCAAAGAAGGGCUCACCUAUUUUGACCGAAAGUUCCGCUUGCUUGGAAUGUCUAACAAUAUCUCUACUUUAAUUUAUCGUCUGCAAUUUUAGACAAAUUUCUAUGCUUAUGUUGAGAUCCGGUUUGUAUCUGUUAAUUAGGCGCAGUAAGUUGUACUUUUUCGCCUUGGAGUUGUUUGAUUCCAGUUCAUACAGCGUCGAGAGAUUGACCAGCAAACUCUCGUUGAGGGACUUCUGGGGAUUCAGGUUGAUAGCGCGCUCGUACAGAUUUAUAGCAUCCUUUAGCUUUCCGGCGUAGAGAAGGCACACUCCCAUGUUGUUCAGGAUCAUUGUGUUGCCGGUGUCCAGGUGCAGAGCUUUCUGGAAUAUCACAUAGGCCUCGGGAAAGUCGUUCUUGGCCACAGCUAUUAAUCCCUUAUCGACCAAGUCUCUGAGAUCAGGCGCGGAGUUUCUACAACAAAGCAUAUCAUUGAACUGAAAAUAGCGUUGGUUAGAGUAGGGCCUUACAUCUCCCUUAAUCUCCUCGAGACGGCAAUCUUCUGCUCCGCUCCAAAUAUGUCACCAAUUUGCAGAUAAAUGCGGCCCCAAGCGGAGUACAAGGAUCGCCGAUCCUCCUUGCUCAGGUUGGAGCGCUUUAAAAGCGUUCCCUCCAUUAUGUCGUCUAUCAUACUGAAUUUCUUCAUCUGCAAGAAUUAAAUGGGCAAUGUUACACUCAUUUAAACUACAGUUAAGUUUUCUUGAACGUACCAUCAAUCCACAGUUGAUGAUUGAAUGCAAAACCCGUUCGCAUCGCCUUUGCCAAAACUCCUCUGCCGCCUUGUUGUGCAGACUUAAAUAGUGCUCCUUGAUUUCCCGCGUGGUCACAUGAAGUUCUGAAAGUCUGUCCAGGGCGACAUGGGGUUUACCCAGAUAUAUGGGCAGCUCUGCAAGCAAGAGCCGGAAGGAAAAACAGGCUAUGGAUCCACUUUUCCCGUUGUACAUCUCCGGAUAGAAGUCGUAGAAGACAUCGGGGCUGGUAAGUUGGCCAAAAGGUUCUGCCUCGGCAUUCAGCAGCUCAAACUCGCCCAACUUGGCAAGCAGCGCGAGGCGCGUGAACCACAGUUGCAGGGAGUGGGGCGAAUGCUUUGCUGGCUGACCAGAUCGCCCGUAACCCUGACCGUAAAUGGUCAGAAGACGGCCCGUAAGAUUCACGGCAGUGCGAUAGCAACCGGCGUGGAUUAGUGUUCUCAAGCCGCGCUCGUCCUGGGUGACAUCAUCGACGCGAAGGAUCUUGCGGUAGGACAACUCGGCCUCUCCGAGGUGUUGAGUCACCGCCACGCUGAUGGGAUCUGCCUGGAACAGUCAUAAAGUGUCAGUAAGUAAAAGUGUCAUUACCUUUAAAAAGAAGUAUAGAAGCAUUCUAUACGCACCAAGUCAGUUUGCAGAUGGAUGCCCGGCAUAAUAAGUUUACCGGGCUCGUUUUCCCGCGUCAUGGAAGUGCGACUGUGAGUUUUCGAGCAGCUAAAAAGAACACAUUUACUCCACUUGUGAGCUCGGGUGUGGUAUGUGCUGCAAUUUGACGCCCUGUAGAGGCGAUGCGAUCAAACAGCGGGAUGCGGGCGGAGGAGGAGAAUGGGAAUGGUGAGGAGGAUGAGGGGCACAUGCUACACGCAUGCGCUGCGUUAGGAGUCGGGCACGUCCCGAGUCCCUGGGCUCUAUAAAUAUGCAGAGGACCGUGCAA